GCAGUCGAGCGGUAACAGGGGUAGCUUGCUACCCGCUGACGAGCGGCGGACGGGUGAGUAAUGCAUGGGUAUCUGCCCGGUAGUGGGGGAUAACUCGGGGAAACCCGAGCUAAUACCGCAUACGUCCUACGGGAGAAAGCAGGGGAUCUUCGGACCUUGCGCUAUCGGAUGAGCCCAUGUCGGAUUAGCUUGUUGGUGAGGUAACGGCUCACCAAGGCGACGAUCCGUAGCUGGUCUGAGAGGAUGAUCAGCCACACCGGGACUGAGACACGGCCCGGACUCCUACGGGAGGCAGCAGUGGGGAAUAUUGGACAAUGGGGGAAACCCUGAUCCAGCCAUGCCGCGUGUGUGAAGAAGGCCUUCGGGUUGUAAAGCACUUUCAGUGGGGAAGAAGGCAUGAUGAUUAAUACUCGUCAUGAAGGACAUCACCCACAGAAGAAGCACCGGCUAACUCCGUGCCAGCAGCCGCGGUAAUACGGAGGGUGCAAGCGUUAAUCGGAAUUACUGGGCGUAAAGGGCGCGUAGGCGGCUUGCCAAGCCGGAUGUGAAAGCCCCGGGCUCAACCCGGGAACGGCAUUCGGAACUGGUAGGCUAGAGUGCAGGAGAGGAAGGUGGAAUUCCCGGUGUAGCGGUGAAAUGCGUAGAGAUCGGGAGGAAUACCAGUGGCGAAGGCGGCCUUCUGGACUGACACUGACGCUGAGGCGCGAAAGCGUGGGUAGCAAACAGGAUUAGAUACCCUGGUAGUCCACGCCGUACACGAUGUCGACCAGCCGUUGGACCCCUUGAGGGUUUGGUGGCGCAGUUAACGCAAUAAGUCGACCGCCUGGGGAGUACGGCCGCAAGGCUAAAACUCAAAUGAAUUGACGG
This 867-nucleotide ribosomal RNA is filed under the name Kushneria phyllosphaerae. Its description in RNAcentral is "bacterial SSU rRNA". It matches the Rfam family "Bacterial small subunit ribosomal RNA", at positions 57 to 916 of the family's 1533-position model. RNAcentral also lists the same sequence under 1 other name. Lineage: Bacteria; Pseudomonadati; Pseudomonadota; Gammaproteobacteria; Oceanospirillales; Halomonadaceae. The record is from RNAcentral.